AAGCGCUUGUGACCAGACUUGCGUCCGGUGAAUCACCCAGCUCUCGCGGCUGGGGCACUUCGCCGGCACAGGCCAGCAUCAGCUUGCCGUCGGGGACAAAAGCUUCAGGAACGUGGCUCCUCUCGGGGAGUGUUAUAGCCUGUUGCAUAAUACCCUUCGGCGGGCUGAGGUACGCGCUCCGCAAGGAUGCUGGCGUAAUGGUCAUCAGCGA
RNAcentral lists this ribosomal RNA (211 nucleotides) under Colletotrichum godetiae. Its description in RNAcentral is "partial large subunit ribosomal RNA". The record is from RNAcentral. Lineage: Eukaryota; Fungi; Ascomycota; Sordariomycetes; Glomerellales; Glomerellaceae.